GAUGAACGCUAGCGGCAGGCCUAACACAUGCAAGUCGAGGGGCAGCACAGAAACAGCAAUGUUUUGGUGGCGACCGGCGGACGGGUGCGUAACGCGUAUGCAACCUACCUUUAACAGGGGGAUAACGGAGAGAAAUUUCCACUAAUACCCCAUAACAUCGAUCAAGGCAUCUUGAUUGGUUGAAAACUCCGGUGGUUAAAGAUGGGCAUGCGUUGUAUUAGGUAGUUGGUGAGGUAAUGGCUCACCAAGCCUACGAUACAUAGGGGGACUGAGAGGUUAGCCCCCCACACUGGUACUGAGACACGGACCCGACUCCUACGGGAUGCAGCGGUGAGGAAUAUUGGUCAAUGGGGGCAACCCUGAACCAGCCAUGCCGCGUGCAGGAAGACGGCUCUAUGAGUUGUAAACUGCUUUUAAACAGGGAUAAAGCACAGUAUGUAUACUGUGUUGAAGGUACUGUAAGAAUAAGGAUCGGCUAACUCCGUGCCAGCCGCCGCGGUAA
RNAcentral lists this ribosomal RNA (502 nucleotides) under uncultured bacterium. RNAcentral's name for it is "partial 16S ribosomal RNA". It matches the Rfam family "Bacterial small subunit ribosomal RNA", at positions 28 to 523 of the family's 1533-position model. The record is from RNAcentral.